Molecule: small RNA, 141 nt
Filed under: human gut metagenome
Description: Clostridiales-1 RNA
Rfam family: Clostridiales-1 RNA
Source: RNAcentral
AGCGCCCAGGCGGGAUGCGUGCUUGCACGUAAGCCCGUUUGGACAUUUGACAAUCAAGCCGGAAUGAGCAAGUAAGGCGAUAGCCUGGAUUGCGAAUUUUGGCGGCAGAUGCGGAAGCGCUGAAGGCGCGAAGCAGCUGGC